AUUCUGUGAUGAGGGCAUUUUUGUAGUAAUUCUUUGUACCUUUCCCAUGCCUCAUACAAGGACUUGUCAUCCAUUUGUUGGAAACUAGUGAUCUUGUUCCUCAACUU
Non-coding RNA from Gossypium hirsutum (cotton), 107 nucleotides. Lineage: Eukaryota; Viridiplantae; Streptophyta; Magnoliopsida; Malvales; Malvaceae. The record is from Rfam.